AGUGAACGCUGGCGGUAGGCCUAACACAUGCAAGUCGAACGGCAGCACAGUAAGAGCUUGCUCUUACGGGUGGCGAGUGGCGGACGGGUGAGGAAUACAUCGGAAUCUACUUUUUCGUGGGGGAUAACGUAGGGAAACUUACGCUAAUACCGCAUACGACCUACCGGUGAAAGCAGUGGAUCUUCGGACCUUGCGCGAUUGAAUGAGCCGAUGUCGGAUUAGCUAGUUGGCGGGGUAAGGGCCCACCAAGGCGACGAUCCGUAGCUGUUCUGAGAGGAUGAUCAGCCACACUGGAACUGAGACACGGUCCAGACUCCUACGGGAGGCAGCAGUGGGGAAUAUUGGACAAUGGGCGCAAGCCUGAUCCAGCCAUACCGCGUGGGUGAAGAAGGCCUUCGGGUUGUAAAGCCCUUUUGUUGGGAAAGAAAGGCAGCAGGUUAAUACCCCGCUGUUCUGACGGUACCCAAAGAAUAAGCACCGGCUAACUUCGUG
Molecule: ribosomal RNA, 492 nt
Filed under: uncultured bacterium
Lineage: Bacteria
Description: partial 16S ribosomal RNA
Rfam family: Bacterial small subunit ribosomal RNA
Source: RNAcentral